AUGCAUGUCAUCUUGAAGGCUUCGUGUGAACCCAUUCAAUUGGUUGAGUGGAGUUUGACAGCCUCGAGGAAAUUCACGGUAAAGUCCCUUUAUAACAAGCUAACUGAAGGGUCAGCGCUUGAUAUAGCUAAGGGGUUGUGGAAGGCAGGUCUGCCUCUGAAGAUUAAAAUAUUCAUGUGGCAAAUGUUUAGGAAUAGGCUGCCCACUUCGGAUAACGUGGCCAAACGUAACGGUCCGGCUGAUGGUACCUGCACGGUAUGUGGCCUAGGUGAAGAUGCAAACCAUGUAUUUUUUAGAUGUCACCUGGCCAGGUUCGCUUGGAGCGCUGUUCGUGAAGCCUUUCACACGAACUGGAACCCAGCCUCGGGGAAUAACUUAAUUACCAUACUCAAGUCCACGAAAGGGACUAGUAGUAGAAUCGUUUGGCGUUGUGUAGAGGCGCUGCUCUGGGCUAUUUGGACGACGCGCAAUAAAUUACGAUUGAGAAAAAAAUUCCCUAACCAUCCUGCAGAUGUGAUCUUCAAAUGCCAUCUAUUUCUGCAGGCGUGGAUUUCACUGGGGAAGGAGCGCGAUGCUGAGCAUAUGUCAGAGGCCAUGACGCGCAUCAAGACUAUCCAGGCGAUGGCAAGACAAGAUCCGCCGAGUCGGUGGCGCUUUUGGAGUCUUUUGUGGGAGUUUUAUGUUAGCUAG
This 690-nucleotide ribosomal RNA is filed under the name Triticum aestivum (bread wheat). RNAcentral's name for it is "partial small subunit ribosomal RNA". Lineage: Eukaryota; Viridiplantae; Streptophyta; Magnoliopsida; Poales; Poaceae. The record is from RNAcentral.